This 589-nucleotide non-coding RNA is filed under the name Leptodontidium sp. KO-2013. RNAcentral's name for it is "partial contains ITS1, 5.8S rRNA and ITS2". The stretch from base 246 to 399 matches the Rfam family "5.8S ribosomal RNA". The record is from RNAcentral. Lineage: Eukaryota; Fungi; Ascomycota; Leotiomycetes; Helotiales; Leptodontidiaceae. RNAcentral also lists the same sequence under 1 other name.
AAGGAUCAUUACUAGAGCAAAGGAUAGACAGCGCCCGCGGAGCUCGCUCCCGGGGCUACCCUACUCCCGUAGGGUUUAGAGUCGUCGGGCCUCUCGGAGAAGCUCGGUCCUGAACUCCACCCUUGAAUAAACUACCUUUGUUGCUUUGGCGGGCCGCCUCGUGCCAGCGGCUUCGGCUGUUGAGUGCCCGCCAGAGGACCCCAACUCUUGUUUUUAGUGAUGUCUGAGUACUAUAUAAUAGUUAAAACUUUCAACAACGGAUCUCUUGGUUCUGGCAUCGAUGAAGAACGCAGCGAAAUGCGAUAAGUAAUGUGAAUUGCAGAAUUCAGUGAAUCAUCGAAUCUUUGAACGCACAUUGCGCCCUCUGGUAUUCCGGGGGGCAUGCCUGUUCGAGCGUCAUUAUAACCACUCAAGCUCUCGCUUGGUAUUGGGGUUCGCGGUUUCGCGGCCCCUAAAAUCAGUGGCGGUGCCUGUCGGCUCUACGCGUAGUAAUACUCCUCGCGAUUGAGUCCGGUAGGUCUACUUGCCAGCAACCCCUAAUUUUUUUAAGGUUGACCUCGGAUCAGGUAGGGAUACCCGCUGAACUUAA